RNAcentral lists this long non-coding RNA (2201 nucleotides) under Mytilus galloprovincialis (Mediterranean mussel). Lineage: Eukaryota; Metazoa; Mollusca; Bivalvia; Mytilida; Mytilidae. The record is from RNAcentral.
UUGUCAUAUGAAUGAUGUAACAAAAACAAAAACAAAUUCACAAGAUCUGGGAAGAUAGUAAUUCACAGAAUUAUUAAUUUUAAUAAAAUUAUGUGUAUUUUAAUUGUAAUGAAAAUCUAAAAACUAAAGAACCUUUUCUCUCUGGUCCAGAAAGUUUCAAAAAACUUUUAAUGGCACAACUACUGAUUAUUAAGGCAUUCUCAUGGCACAUUAUACUUGUGCAUUAUGUUCAAAUAUUUUUCAGUCAGGCCAAAGAGAAGUAUAAAUGUGGUUCCAAUUACAUCCUGAAUAAAAAUAGGGUCAGUAAGUUGUAAUGGUUGGGGUUGGAUUGGUUUUUUAGGGGGGUGGGGGUGGAUUGUCAAAAUCCAGAAACAACUUGUGUAUUUUCUGAGUCAGAUUCCAGUACUAUGCAUGUAUCUAACAAAAUUCACAAUUUCUAGACAUUUGGUUGUAAAAUAAACAGAUUUGUUACAUUUUUAGUUAAUUUUGUUGCAUUCUGUUAAGAAUUUGUUGUAUUUUAGCCAUAUUGGAUACUUCAUAUGGAAAUUCAGAGGACAGAACUUUGUGAAUUUUAUCAUUGAAAUUUCAUGAUCCUUAUAUUCAAUUAUUUCUAAGAAUAAUGAAGUGGUAAUUCUAUGUAUGGCAAAAAAAAACAACAGUUUUAAAGGUUGUUCUUUACAUAUGUUAAACAUGGGAGGAUGUAUUAAUUUAGAUACUUUUUUGGAUAACUAUCCUGUCAUGGAAGAAUUCAUUUUCAAAUGAAUGCAAAAUAAGCUGUCUAAAAGAGAGGUAAAAAUAUCUUCAAAUGUUUCUUUAUUCAAACACUUCCAAUAUUUAUUGGUCGAUGCAAAAUUUAAUCUUGAUCUGACAAUAACUUUAAGUAGCACUUGAACCAUUUUUCAGUCAUGGUUACAGAUAAUAGAUAUUACAAUAGUAAAAAAAAGCUAAAAAAAAAUAUCACAGCAAAACCUAUUAAAUGUGUUCAUUUACUCUGAACUUUGUCAAACCAGAGGCUCAUUUGAAUCUAUAGUUGCUUACCUAUCUAUAGCUAGUAACAAUGUACACUGUAUGGAUAUCAAAGAGUAAAUACCUGGUAAUUGUAUGGAGAUCAAGCUUUAAAAAGCUGCAUGGAGAUUCGCAAUAGCUAUAGUUAUGGAGAUCAAGCUCUAAAUAGCUGUAUUGAGAUCAAGCUCUAUAUAGUUGUAUUGAGGUCUUACUCUACAUAACUGUAUUGAGAUCGAGCUAUAAACAGUUAUAUUGAUAUCAAGCAAUAGCCAUAUAGAGUUUAAGCUCGAAACAGCUGUACAGAGAUCUAGCUCUAAGCAGCUGUAUGGAGAUCAAGCUCUAAGCAGCUGUAUGGAGAUCAAGCUCUAAGCAGCUGUAUGGAGAUCUUGGUCUAAAAAGCUGUAUUGAGAUCAAGUUCUGAAUCAUAAUAGUUAUCAUUGACAUUUAACUUUCAUGUUUUGAUUUUAAAAAUAAAUUCAGCCAUUGUGAGUUUCAACCCUUUUCUGAGCAUGUCCAGAAAGGAAGUAUGCAACAUUACAAUUAUGACAUUUAAUGUUACAAAAUCUAUUAUCUUUUCCUCUAGUGGUCCUCUGUACCAGGUAAGCAACUAUAAUAAUUUGCUCUAGUGAUCCUCUGUACAAGGUAAGCAAAUAUACUAAUACUGACAACAAAAUAUCACAAAAAAGGAAGACCUGCUUCAACAAUCACUUUCCUAUAUCUAACAAUACUCUAGUCAUGAUAAAAAAACACACUCACAAAUAAUAUACAAAUAUACUAGUAGAUCUAUAAAAACAACUAUGGCAAAUUCAUGCUUCAUUUGUAACAGUUAUGGAAUACUUGACACUUGAACUAUGGGAUUUUUGUGGUUGACAUGGCUUCCUGAUGUCUCAUUUAAAAGGACCUGUGACCUUUAAAAAUGUUGAAAACCCUUAUAUUUAUUGUUUUAUAUGCUUAAACGUGAUCUGGUAUAAACACAGAACAAUUUAUAAAAAUAAAUAUUUAUUUAAAAAUGUGACCUUGCAACCUAAGGGAAUUACCCCUUUGAAGCCCCAAAUAAAGAACCAAGAAUAAGAUUCUCAACUAUUGAUUCUACUUAAAAAUGUUUUAUCUUAAAUUUUAAAGUUUCUUCAUUUGUUAGUCAUUAUGAUACUUUUAUACUGAUUUUGAUUGUUACAGCAAUACAAAAGUAUUAGAGA